AGCCCUGUAGCUCAGUGGAUUAGAGCACUUGCCUCCUAAGCAAGGGGUCCGAGGUUCGAGCCCUCGCUGGGUCG
Molecule: non-coding RNA, 74 nt
Organism: Hyaloraphidium curvatum
Lineage: Eukaryota; Fungi; Monoblepharomycota; Hyaloraphidiomycetes; Hyaloraphidiales; Hyaloraphidiaceae
Source: the annotation of a GenBank genome assembly